AACGAACGCUGGCGGCAUGCCUAACACAUGCAAGUCGAACGAGACCUUCGGGUCUAGUGGCGCACGGGUGCGUAACGCGUGGGAACCUGCCCUUAGGUUCGGAAUAACUCCCCGAAAGGGGUGCUAAUACCGGAUAAUGUCUUCGGACCAAAGAUUUAUCGCCUUUGGAUGGGCCCGCGUUGGAUUAGCUAGUUGGUGGGGUAAAAGCCUACCAAGGCGACGAUCCAUAGCUGGUCUGAGAGGAUGAUCAGCCACACUGGGACUGAGACACGGCCCAGACUCCUACGGGAGGCGGCAGUGGGGGAUAUUGGACGAUGGGCGAAAGCCUGAUCCAGCAAUGCCGCGUGAGUGAUGAAGGCCUUAGGGUUGUAAAGCUCUUUUACCCGGGAUGAUAAUGACAGUACCGGGAGAAUAAGCUCCGGCUAACUCCGUG
Molecule: ribosomal RNA, 433 nt
Filed under: uncultured bacterium
Lineage: Bacteria
Description: partial 16S ribosomal RNA
Rfam family: Bacterial small subunit ribosomal RNA
Source: RNAcentral